This 460-nucleotide ribosomal RNA is filed under the name uncultured Pseudomonas sp. Its description in RNAcentral is "bacterial SSU rRNA". It matches the Rfam family "Bacterial small subunit ribosomal RNA", at positions 8 to 467 of the family's 1533-position model. The record is from RNAcentral. Lineage: Bacteria; Pseudomonadati; Pseudomonadota; Gammaproteobacteria; Pseudomonadales; Pseudomonadaceae.
AGAGUUUGAUCCUGGCUCAGAUUGAACGCUGGCGGCAGGCCUAACACAUGCAAGUCGAGCGGAUGAAGAGAGCUUGCUCUCUGAUUCAGCGGCGGACGGGUGAGUAAUGCCUAGGAAUCUGCCUGGUAGUGGGGGACAACGUCUCGAAAGGGACGCUAAUACCGCAUACGUCCUACGGGAGAAAGCAGGGGACCUUCGGGCCUUGCGCUAUCAGAUGAGCCUAGGUCGGAUUAGCUANUUGGUGAGGUAAUGGCUCACCAAGGCGACGAUCCGUAACUGGUCUGAGAGGAUGAUCAGUCACACUGGAACCGAGACACGGUCCAGACUCCUACGGGAGGCAGCAGUGGGGAAUAUUGGACAAUGGGCGAAAGCCUGAUCCAGCCAUGCCGCGUGUGUGAAGAAGGUCUUCGGAUUGUAAAGCACUUUAAGUUGGGAGGAAGGGCAGUAAGCGAANACCNUG